This 88-nucleotide ribosomal RNA is filed under the name Citrobacter freundii. Lineage: Bacteria; Pseudomonadati; Pseudomonadota; Gammaproteobacteria; Enterobacterales; Enterobacteriaceae. RNAcentral also lists the same sequence under 9 other names. The record is from RNAcentral.
CUGACCCCAUGCCGAACUCAGAAGUGAAACGCCGUAGCGCCGAUGGUAGUGUGGGGUCUCCCCAUGCGAGAGUAGGGAACUGCCAGAC